Molecule: long non-coding RNA, 708 nt
Organism: Aquila chrysaetos chrysaetos
Lineage: Eukaryota; Metazoa; Chordata; Aves; Accipitriformes; Accipitridae
Exons: 3
Source: RefSeq, a predicted model, not a curated record
CGUAAUAAAUAUGCAGACACAAGAACUGUGUCUGCAACCCAUUGCUUAAGCUGUCUUAAAAAACCAAAAUAUCCACUUUGGUUAAUACAAAGAAGCUAGCAGGAACAGGCUGAAAGUUAACACACCAAGACAUAGUCACCUGAAGAGGAGAAAUGAGAGGGACAGAAUGUGCCACAGUCAAAACCCCACUCUUAGCAAGAAGAACAGAGGAAUAAAAACUAAUAAGAAGCAUUGGGCUCCUGUCUGAAACCAGUGAAGUGGGAGCCGAGCUGCUGCCGACUCGCCACAAAGGUGCUCGAUGAAAGCAGGGGUGUGGGGAUGCCUUUUUCAUGAAGCGCAUGCAGCCAGAGGAAACCCACAUGUGGGAUGCGAUGGAGGUGGGCAGAGCCCAUGCACACCCCCCGCUCUUAAACUGCUGUGUGAAAGGUAAAAGUUGGCUCAGACACACAGUGAUCCUGCACAAAACCCAAUGUAAAGCUGCUUCCCUACUGCGUGGGAGGUACGUGCACGCCCUGUGUGCACGUCCAGAGCAGAUGGAUGAGCAUCCAGAUGAUGAAGACUCGGAUGUUCUGGCUGGCCCCAGACUGAGAUGAGCAACAGGGUGAAGUAACCACUAGAUAGCAAAAGUGAGCCUCUCUGACAUCCUCAGUAGAAACAGGGACAGAUUAAUGCCAGUGUGUUGAGCCCUUUGAAAGCUGGUCUGAAAUA